UUAUCUAACAAGUAACGGUUAUAACAUCUCGCGUGUUGUUCUAUUUACGCAUAUCUAAUUAAAUGCAUGACCAAACUCAAUUAUAAACUAACACUGCUCGGAAGACGCUGUAGCUGCGGCGGAAGACGCUGUGGAUUGGUGUGUUUCCAGUGGGUGUUCGAUGGUUAACAGCAUAUCCAGUUUUGGAUCUGUGAUGGCUUAUGCGGAAUCAGGUUGCUGAGGGGUUGUCUGAGCUAUCACCCUUCACUAGCCGCCUUUUUUCUGUAUCCAUCAAACCGGAUUAACGAUUGUUUGCUUCUAAAAGAUUUUCAGAUCUACGAUUUUCGUAUACUAUGGUCAUUGAUCUCGCUCGGGUGGUUGUGUUGCAAAGUAGUGGGCCUUGUAUACGACGGUACUAUUAGAUCUGUUCGUUGCCUCCGUUUUGAUUGUCCAAAUCCAACUCUGUUUCUUUUUUUUCCGUUGACCAGAAUUUCUUUCUGUUUUUAUAACCGUAAAAGAUUGUAAUUUCCAGGCAUAAACCCAAUUGGGAAUGGG
This 534-nucleotide small RNA is filed under the name Arabidopsis thaliana (thale cress). RNAcentral describes it as "putative long intergenic non-coding RNA". The record is from RNAcentral. Lineage: Eukaryota; Viridiplantae; Streptophyta; Magnoliopsida; Brassicales; Brassicaceae.